UGUCAUCGAGGCGUUACUGCUAAGGUGACGAUCAUACCGCGAUAUAUAAAUGUUUCCGAUCUACACAUCGCACACCUUAAACUUACCCAAUAAAUGGGUCAAGCAGAAUGAGAGCGGAAUCUUCUUUGCCAAGACGACACGGCGUAUACCGGAUAUAUGCGCCCAAGUGAGCGAAUCUGAUCCCCACGGGAAGUCGGUUCAUCUCACAAACCAUCAGAACCCUGAGAUCCACACUGAGACUCCCGAGAUCCCAGAGCUGACAGAAAAGUGUGAGGAGGUCCAGGGACUGGUUUUCCUGAGACAAAAGGACGAACUGUAUCGAGAGGUCCCUGCAUGUCACAGAAAACAAGCCCAAGCCACAUCUCUUGGGAGAGAUGUUUGGCCUGAAGAGAGAAACUUGCAAUCCCCAGUGGUAAUUCAGACCAAACCGGUGGCUGUGUCUUUCCCAGUUUUUAAAAAAUGCUAUGUAAAAAAAAAAAAAAAAAAAUGUAUUUGUACUAGUUUUGUUUUCCUGAUGAACAUGGCAUUUAGUUUCCAAGUCCAAGUUCUAAUGGCCCUCCACAGGUUUUCUUAUGCAAAUUAGCAUACCAAUUUGCAGAUAGGUAAUAACUACAUGCCUGUCUGAAGAUCACCACCGUUCAAACAUGUCCAUUGCCAUUCUUGUGUCUCCUUAGAUAUACAUUUUUGGGAGAUCACGGCUCAAGUUAGAAGUGAAAAAUGCUUCUAGCUUCCCGUGACAGUUCCUCUGUCUAGAAAGCAAUCAAAGGCUGCAUUUUUAGUAACUAGAUGCUGUUUUGAUGGCUUAAUCCCUCUGAUUUUACAGUCCAGUCUUUCCUGGGUAGAGUCCCGAACCUGAAUCUGAAAGUUCCUUAACUUUACAUACACAGAAAAGAUUUCAAAACUGAUCUGUUCCCGAUACCUCCAAGGUUCAUUUGAUGUGGGCGAACCAGACACAAAAACCAGCGUUGCUCCGAAUUCCCCGAUUAUCUCCAUGAAAGCAGCAGUGAGAAAUUCGUGCCAAACCUGACCCAGCCAUACUGAAUUUCAUGGUGGGAGCUUCAGUUAAGAAGAGUCAAAGAUUCCCUGGCUUCUCACCAAUCUGUCUACUAAUAAAUACACUGACUGUUUUAACAUACAAGUGAAACAGAUGCUAUAUUUUGCACUGAUAGGUUUUCUUGGGAAAA
Acinonyx jubatus (cheetah) is the source of this 1184-nucleotide long non-coding RNA. RefSeq lists it as uncharacterized. The record is from RefSeq and is a predicted model, not a curated record. NCBI's taxonomy places the organism in Eukaryota, Metazoa, Chordata, Mammalia, Carnivora, Felidae. The transcript is spliced from 3 exons.